This 301-nucleotide ribosomal RNA is filed under the name uncultured bacterium. RNAcentral's name for it is "partial 16S ribosomal RNA". It matches the Rfam family "Bacterial small subunit ribosomal RNA", at positions 509 to 808 of the family's 1533-position model. The record is from RNAcentral.
CAGCCGCCGCGGUAAUACGUAGGUCCCGAGCGUUGUCCGGAUUUAUUGGGCGUAAAGCGAGCGCAGGCGGUUAGAUAAGUCUGAAGUUAAAGGCUGUGGCUUAACCAUAGUACGCUUUGGGAACUGUUUAACUUGAGUGCAGAAGAGGAGAGUGGAAUUCCAUGUGUAGCGGUGAAAUGCGUAGAUAUAUGGAGGAACACCAGUGGCGAAGGCGACUCUCUGGUCUGUAGCUGACGCUGAGGCUCGAAAGCGUGGGUAGCAAACAGGAUUAGAUACCCGAGUAGUCCCUGUCUCUUAUACA